RNAcentral lists this ribosomal RNA (421 nucleotides) under uncultured bacterium. RNAcentral describes it as "bacterial SSU rRNA". It matches the Rfam family "Bacterial small subunit ribosomal RNA", at positions 355 to 774 of the family's 1533-position model. The record is from RNAcentral.
UGGGGAAUUUUGGACAAUGGGCGAAAGCCUGAUCCAGCCAUGCCGCGUGCAGGAUGAAGGCCUUCGGGUUGUAAACUGCUUUUGUACGGGAAGAAACACUCCUACGUGUAGGAGCUUGACGGUACCGUAAGAAUAAGGAUCGGCUAACUCCGUGCCAGCAGCCGCGGUAAUACGUAGGGUGCGAGCGUUAUCCGGAUUUAUUGGGUUUAAAGGGUGCGUAGGCGGCUUAUUAAGUCAGGGGUGAAAGACGGUGGCUCAACCAUCGCAGUGCCCUUGAUACUGAUGAGCUUGAAUGGACUAGAGGUAGGCGGAAUGUGACAAGUAGCGGUGAAAUGCAUAGAUAUGUCACAGAACACCGAUUGCGAAGGCAGCUUACUAUGGUUUAAUUGACGCUGAGGCACGAAAGCGUGGGGAUCAAACA